RNAcentral lists this long non-coding RNA (608 nucleotides) under Vulpes vulpes (red fox). RNAcentral describes it as "lncRNA (ENSVVUG00000026797.1)". The record is from RNAcentral. Lineage: Eukaryota; Metazoa; Chordata; Mammalia; Carnivora; Canidae.
UUCAAACUAGCAUCAUAUAUUUUUACAUGUAGUUCCAUGGGGCUGUUUCUGUGUUAGUGCUAAGAUGGCCCCAAGUGUCUUUGAUUGUUUUUGAGUGUCUACCCUGGCCCAGGAGCUUAAGGCUCAUGUGAUCCUGCAUGUGUUGCAGCUAGAUGGUACUAACCUUGCCUAUUAAUAAUGUGAUGGACUAGCAAACAUCAGCUCAAUAUUUCUGCAUAACUGCAAAAUCUUUUCAAAACACUACUGGUGCAGCUUCCUGCAAAGUAAUAAUAAAGUACUAAAGCAACAAAGAUUGUCUUCUGAUAAAUCUAAAUAGACAAGAACUUGGCACCUGAAACAGAUGGCUUUUGCCUCCUUCCCCUAUGCCCUUGAGCAGAAGAGGUGCAUUGGUCUGCUAAUCUUUAUUCAAAAGGAAGAAUUCUUUGACAGUCAUUCAUUCAGACACAUUUUUGAAAAUGACCUGCAACUUCUGGAAUUAAAUUUAUCAAAAUAGUUGGAAAACUAUUUGACAGCAACAAGAAGAGUGCUUGGCACGUUCUGUUGUGGAUAAAUGAUGGAUAUACAAAUAAUAAGAUUUUCUUUAGGGAUCCCUGGGUGGCGCAGCGGUU